UACGGGGGGGGCAAGCGUUGUUCGGAAUUACUGGGCGUAAAGGGCGCGUAGGCGGCCUUCUAAGUCGAACGUGAAAUCCCCGGGCUCAACCCGGGAACUGCGUCCGAUACUGGAAGGCUUGAAUCCGGGAGAGGGAUGUGGAAUUCCAGGUGUAGCGGUGAAAUGCGUAGAUAUCUGGAGGAACACCGGUGGCGAAGGCGACAUCCUGGACCGGUAUUGACGCUGAGGCGCGAAAGCCAGGGGAGCAAAUGGG
RNAcentral lists this ribosomal RNA (253 nucleotides) under uncultured bacterium. RNAcentral describes it as "partial 16S ribosomal RNA". It matches the Rfam family "Bacterial small subunit ribosomal RNA", at positions 524 to 776 of the family's 1533-position model. The record is from RNAcentral.